This 497-nucleotide ribosomal RNA is filed under the name uncultured bacterium. RNAcentral's name for it is "partial 16S ribosomal RNA". It matches the Rfam family "Bacterial small subunit ribosomal RNA", at positions 28 to 507 of the family's 1533-position model. The record is from RNAcentral.
GAUGAACGCUGGCGGCGUGCCUAAUACAUGCAAGUCGAGCGAACAGACGAGGUGCUUGCUCCACUGACGUUAGCGGCGGAUGGGUGAGUAACACGUGGAUAACCUACCUAUAAGACUGGGAUAAAUUCGGGAAACCGGAGCUAAUACCGGAUAAUAUAUUGAACCGCAUGGUUCAAUAGUGAAAGACGGUUUUGCUGUCACUUAUAUAUGUAUCCUCGCCGCAUUAGCUAGUUGGUAAGGUAACGGCUUACCAAGGCGACGAUGCGUAGCCGACCUGAGAGGGUGAUCGGCCACACUGGAACUGAGACACGGUCCAGACUCCUACGGGAGGCAGCAGUAGGGAAUCUUCCGCAAUGGGCGAAAGCCUGACGGAGCAACGCCGCGUGAGUGAUGAAGGUCUUCGGAUCGUAAAACUCUGUUAUUAGGGAAGAACAAAUGUGUAAGUAACUAUGCACGUCUUGACGGUACCUAAUCAGAAAGCCACGGCUAACUACGUG